Molecule: ribosomal RNA, 323 nt
Filed under: uncultured bacterium
Lineage: Bacteria
Description: bacterial SSU rRNA
Rfam family: Bacterial small subunit ribosomal RNA
Source: RNAcentral
ACUGGAAACGGUGAGUAAUACCGCAUACGCCCUUCGGGGAAAGAGUUUAUCGGAGAAGGAUCGGCCGCGGUUAGAUUAGAUAGUUGGUGGGUAACGGCCUACCAAGUCUACGAUCUAUAGCUGGUUUUAGAGGAUGAUCAGCAACACUGGGACUGAGACACGGCCCAGACUCCUACGGGAGGCAGCAGUGGGGAAUCUUAGACAAUGGGCGCAAGCCUGAUCUAGCCAUGCCGCGUGUGUGAUGAAGGUCUUAGGAUCGUAAAGCACUUUCGCCAGGGAUGAUAAUGACAGUACCUGGUAAAGAAACCCCGGCUAACUCCGUG